GAGAGGAGGGCAGAUUGGAAAAGUGUGUAAUCAGAAGUAAAUACUUCUGAGGAGGAACAGGGUCAAAAGAAAGAAUAGAAUAAAUGGGAGGGCAGAAUAGGAUUAAGGGAAAUAGAGUUAGUUUUUCACAACAUGUCUACUAUGGAAGUGUUUUGCAUAACUGCACAUGUACAACCUAUAUUGAGUUGCUUGCCUUUUCAGUGAGAGUGGGUGGGGAGGGAGGAAGAGAGAAAAUUUGAAACCUAAAGUUUUAUAAACAUAUGUUUAAAAAAAAGUUUUCACAUGCUAUCGGGAAAUAAGAAAUACAGGAAAUGUGGUACAGAAGUCUAUCCUGCCCUACAGGAAAAUAGAAGGGGAAGGGGAUAAGAGAUGGGGGGAGAGAAAGAAGAGAGGACAGACUAGGAGAAGGGAUAUUCAGAAUGUAUGCCAUCUAGGGGUGGGGGCAGGGUGAGACUGGGUGAAAAUUUGGAACUCAAAAACUUGUGGAAAUAAAUGUUGAAAACUGCAAAUAAAUAAAUUUAUAUUAAAAAAAAUGAACUUCGUGGUUUCUGCCUCUGUCUGCCCAACACCCAGCACAGGUGCUGGCAGUCUAGAGCAUGCUGAAUGGGUCAAUGAAUGCGGAAUUCAUCGUCCCUGAUGCCAACCUUGACCCGAUGAAGAUGCUCUGAGCACCUCCAGAGCUACGUUCCCAGAGGUUCUUUCCUACAGGCUGGACAGCACCGGGCUUUGAUCAAUUCCGGUUGUGGCCCUGAGAACACCAGGGACAGGGAGAGCUGGCAUGCCUGCUCCCAGCUCCCCAGGCCCUCCUUGCAGCGCUUGGUGCUCUUAUAAAGGAACGAGCUAAAAGAACCCGACGCCCUCCGGGAUCUAGCGGCUCAGCAUUUGGCCACCGGGUCUGGCCGGGAGCGCCCCCUCUGCGGACUCCAUUUCCCUGGCGUCACUCACGCCGCAGCACUUCCGGUGGCCUAGGCGGAACCCCAGGGCAUGCCGGGAAUCUCGAGGUGCGCAGGCGCAGCUGCCCGGAGGGGACUCGGGGGGUUUUUUCAGCCCUUUGUUCUUGGGCUCCUGCUGGUUGAUCGUGGGCAGGGCAGAGAGGUGCGGAGGGAGUCAGUGCGCAGGCGUGGCCCCACCCAGCGCGGCGAGGGAGUCCCUCCUCCUCCUUACCAGUCUGGCCAAAGACUUGCAGGUACCCUGCCAGCUCUGCCUUCUCAGGACUCUGCCCUUCCCCCGAAAAGGACCCUGAAGGAGGAGGAAGCAGCAGACGAAGCAAUGCCUUCUGGUGCCCUGACCAGUGGUCGGUCACAGGUUUCAGAUAAAGGAAUAUAG
This is a long non-coding RNA of Phascolarctos cinereus (koala), 1326 nucleotides long. The record is from Ensembl. NCBI's taxonomy places the organism in Eukaryota, Metazoa, Chordata, Mammalia, Diprotodontia, Phascolarctidae.